GGGUCCGCGUCCCAUUAGCUUGUUGGCGGGGUAACGGCCCACCAAGGCAACGAUGGGUAGCCGAUUUGAGAGGAUGAUCGGCCACACUGGAACUGAAACACGGUCCAGACUCCUACGGGAGGCAGCAGUGGGGAAUAUUGCGCAAUGGGCGAAAGCCUGACGCAGCGACGCCGCGUGAGGGAUGAAGGUUUUCGGAUCGUAAACCUCUGUCAGAAGGGAAGAAACUACGUUGUGCUAAUCAGCAGCGUACUGACGGUACCUUCAAAGGAAGCACCGGCUAACUCCGUGCCAGCAGCCGCGGUAAUACGGAGGGUGCAAGCGUUAAUCGGAAUUACUGGGCGUAAAGCGCACGUAGGCUGUAGUGUAAGUCAGGGGUGAAAUCCCACGGCUCAACCGUGGAACUGCCUUUGAUACUGCACAACUUGAAUCCGGGAGAGGGUGGCGGAAUUCCAGGUGUAGGAGUGAAAUCCGUAGAUAUCUGGAGGAACAUCAGUGGCGAAGGCGGCCACCUGGACCGGUAUUGACGCUGAGGUGCGAAAGCGUGGGGAGCAA
RNAcentral lists this ribosomal RNA (552 nucleotides) under uncultured delta proteobacterium. RNAcentral describes it as "bacterial SSU rRNA". It matches the Rfam family "Bacterial small subunit ribosomal RNA", at positions 227 to 771 of the family's 1533-position model. The record is from RNAcentral. Lineage: Bacteria; Deltaproteobacteria.